RNAcentral lists this ribosomal RNA (629 nucleotides) under uncultured fungus. RNAcentral's name for it is "eukaryotic LSU rRNA". It matches the Rfam family "Eukaryotic large subunit ribosomal RNA", at positions 24 to 664 of the family's 3401-position model. Lineage: Eukaryota; Fungi. The record is from RNAcentral.
CGCGCUGAACUUAAGCAUAUCAGUAAGCGGAGGAAAAGAAACCAACAGGGAUUGCCUUAGUAACGGCGAGUGAAGCGGCAAAAGCUCAGAUUUGAAAUCUGGUGCCAUAAUGGCAUCUGAGUUGUAAUCUGUAGAGGAGUAUUCGAGUGUGUCUUUGGCUUAAGUUCCUUGGAACAGGGCGUCAAAGAGGGUGAGAACCCCGUUUGCGGCCUUUGUCCUAUGCUCAUGUGAAUCUCCUUCAACGAGUCGAGUUGUUUGGGAAUGCAGCUCUAAAUGGGUGGUAAAUUCCAUCUAAAGCUAAAUACUGGCAAGAGACCGAUAGCGCACAAGUAGAGUGAUCGAAAGAUGAAAAGAUCUCUGAACAGAGAGUUAAAUAGUACGUGAAAUUGUUGAAAGGGAAGCACUUGCUACUCAGACACACUUGCAAUUAAUCAACCUCCAUUUUUGGUGGUGCACUUGGUUGUAGGUGGGUCAGCAUCAGUUAUAGCGGUAGGAAAAAGACUGUGGGAAUGUGGCUUCUCCUGGGAAGUGUUAUAGCCCAAAGUGUAAUGCUGCCUGCUGUGACUGAGGACCGCGCUUCGGUGAGGAUGCUGGCAUAAUGGUUGUAAGUGACCCGUCUUGAAACACGG